UCUCCCGUGAGAGGGUCAUUGCG
This 23-nucleotide non-coding RNA is filed under the name Cricetulus griseus (Chinese hamster). The record is from RNAcentral. Lineage: Eukaryota; Metazoa; Chordata; Mammalia; Rodentia; Cricetidae.